Molecule: ribosomal RNA, 253 nt
Filed under: uncultured bacterium
Lineage: Bacteria
Description: partial 16S ribosomal RNA
Rfam family: Bacterial small subunit ribosomal RNA
Source: RNAcentral
UACGUAGGUGGCAAGCGUUGUCCGGAUUUAUUGGGUUUAAAGGGCUCGUAGGCGGCCAACUAAGUCGGACGUGAAAUCCCUCAGCUUAACUGGGGAACUGCGUCCGAUACUGGAUGGCUUGGAUUUGGGAGAGGGAUGCGGAAUUCCAGGUGUAGCGGUGAAAUGCGUAGAUAUCUGGAGGAACACCGAUGGCGAAGGCAGCCCCCUGGGUCAACACUGACGCUCAUGCACGAAAGCGUGGGGAGCAAACAGG